AAAACUUAAAAAAGAAUAUUUAUUCUAUUAAUUU
Molecule: transfer RNA, 34 nt
Filed under: Phauda mimica
Lineage: Eukaryota; Metazoa; Arthropoda; Insecta; Lepidoptera; Zygaenidae
Description: partial transfer RNA-Ser
Source: RNAcentral